AUUCAGCUGACGAAUCUUAAAUAGGACGAAACACGCGUCUCGGAU
RNAcentral lists this non-coding RNA (45 nucleotides) under Schistosoma margrebowiei. Lineage: Eukaryota; Metazoa; Platyhelminthes; Trematoda; Strigeidida; Schistosomatidae. The record is from RNAcentral.